This 484-nucleotide ribosomal RNA is filed under the name uncultured bacterium. RNAcentral's name for it is "partial 16S ribosomal RNA". It matches the Rfam family "Bacterial small subunit ribosomal RNA", at positions 29 to 507 of the family's 1533-position model. The record is from RNAcentral.
AUUGAACGCUGGCGGCAUGCUUUACACAUGCAAGUCGAACGGCAGCGCGGGCUUCGGCCUGGCGGCGAGUGGCGAACGGGUGAGUAAUACAUCGGAACGUGCCCAGUAGUGGGGGAUAGCUCGGCGAAGGCCGGAUUAAUACCGCAUACGACCUGAGGGUGAAAGCGGGGGAUCUUCGGACCUCGCGCUAUUGGAGCGGCCGAUGGCAGAUUAGCUAGUUGGUGGGGUAAAGGCCUACCAAGGCGACGAUCUGUAGCUGGUCUGAGAGGACGACCAGCCACACUGGGACUGAGGCACGGCCCAGACUCCUACGGGAGGCAGCAGUGGGGAAUUUUGGACAAUGGGCGAAAGCCUGAUCCAGCAAUGCCGCGUGUGUGAUGAAGGCCUUCGGGUUGUAAAGCACUUUUGGCGGGAACGAAAAGGACUGUGCCAAUACCACGGUUCGAUGACGGUACCCGCAGAAUAAGCACCGGCUAACUACGUG